Molecule: small nuclear RNA, 165 nt
Filed under: Suricata suricatta (meerkat)
Lineage: Eukaryota; Metazoa; Chordata; Mammalia; Carnivora; Herpestidae
Description: U2 spliceosomal RNA (ENSSSUG00005013357.1)
Rfam family: U2 spliceosomal RNA
About the family: U2 is a small nuclear RNA (snRNA) component of the spliceosome (involved in pre-mRNA splicing). Complementary binding between U2 snRNA (in an area lying towards the 5' end but 3' to hairpin I) and the branchpoint sequence (BPS) of the intron results the bulging out of an unpaired adenosine, on the BPS, which initiates a nucleophilic attack at the intronic 5' splice site, thus starting the first of two transesterification reactions that mediate splicing.
Source: Rfam by way of RNAcentral
AUCACUUCUUGGCCUUUUGGCUAAGAUCAAGUGUAGUAUCUGUUCUUAUCAGUUUAAUGCCUGAUACAUCCUCUAUCCAAAGGCUCGUGUAAAAGAUCUUUAGGAACAACAGUGGCAAUGAGGAAAUCAAAAACUGUUACCAGCUGUAUACUGAUUCCAUCUAAU